This is a long non-coding RNA of Mauremys reevesii (Reeves's turtle), 385 nucleotides long. RefSeq lists it as uncharacterized. The record is from RefSeq and is a predicted model, not a curated record. Lineage: Eukaryota; Metazoa; Chordata; Testudines; Geoemydidae. The transcript has 3 exons.
CUUCUCUUUGUGUGGGUUUAAACUAUAACAAGCCAUACAUGUCUAGAAGGUACAGAAGAUAUUGCCAAGAUAUUCACAAUCAAUUAAUUUAUCCAAGCACAGUCCAAAUUACCAUCAGUGGGUGGAAGCAUCUUGGUUAUUAAAUUACCUGCAGCAAUUCCAAACAAUGUCAGCAACAAUGUGUAAAUAUCCGAAAAGGUGCGUGGGAGGGCAGGCAAGGAGGAUAGAAGCAGCGGGAUGAAGAUACUUGUCAAAGAAUUAGUAAGGAGAAUGUCAAAAUUUGAUACUUCACUUGCCAAGGACCUCUCCUACGUAUUUUAACCUUUUCACUUCUAGCUCAGGCUAAAACCCAGUAAUGCAAAAUUGGAGAAGGAAUAAAGUAAAU